Long non-coding RNA from Solanum tuberosum (potato), 747 nucleotides. RefSeq lists it as uncharacterized. Lineage: Eukaryota; Viridiplantae; Streptophyta; Magnoliopsida; Solanales; Solanaceae. The transcript has 2 exons. The record is from RefSeq and is a predicted model, not a curated record.
GGAAAAUGGCAAUUUCCGGUGGUUUUCAAUAUAUCUCCCUAUCCUCUAUCAAUCACAGCCCCCUUUCUAUCAACUUUACAUCUUUUCCGAUUUAUUUUUGACCCAAAGCAGGCCUAGAAGUCUCGACCAUCAUCAUUGCUCCGCCUGAAAGUGGGGGGAUGCGAAGAACCAUCGGAUUUUGGUUCAUCUCACCCUUAAUCUUAUGGGUAUGAGAGUGGAAGCCUCUCCAAAAUUACCAAUAAAAAGACCCCUUGGGUUCUCAAUCAAAAACAUCGGAGAGAUCCGGAAAAAUCUGGAACAACCAUCAAGAAAAACGGAUAGGAACUGCAAUCAAGGAUCCAACAAUAGAGAUAAGAACAGAUAGAAACAAUAUAUUUCAAAAGGGGACCGUUCGGUAAAAAAUUUCAUCUUCUCCUUCCUUUUGUUUUCGAUUUUUUGGGUGUGAGUUCAAGUGAGUUUGAGGUCGGAAUCCUUGACAUCAAAGCCUUUGUUUGCUGCUCCACACAAGAGCUGGAGUUUUUACUUUGGAACUCGUUAUUGGCCUAAGAUAUUAGGCCAACAGCAAUUAGGAUCAUCGCAACACUUGGGAGUCUCAUAAAUAGGAGUCCAACAUUACUUAGCCUUUCCUUUUUCGAGUUUGAUUAUAUUAUUUUGAUAUGUUGACUAACCUUUACUUAUGCCUACAUAACUCUUAAGUUUUCGAUACAUUGCUUGUCUUUUUAUUUGAAGAUUAUUUAUGUGAGCUAA